RNAcentral lists this transfer RNA (93 nucleotides) under Promicromonospora citrea. RNAcentral's name for it is "tRNA-Ser". The record is from RNAcentral. Lineage: Bacteria; Bacillati; Actinomycetota; Actinomycetes; Micrococcales; Promicromonosporaceae.
GCAGGGCGUGCGCGGGCAGGAGAUGCGCGGGCUGCGCGAGCUGGCCACGCGGCUGGCCGGCAGCGCCGACCUGUUCGGCCCGGGCGACCCGCC